GAUGAACGCUGGCGGCGUGCCUAAUACAUGCAAGUCGAGCGAACAGACGAGGAGCUUGCUCCUCUGACGUUAGCGGCGGACGGGUGAGUAACACGUGGAUAACCUACCUAUCAGACUGGGAUAACUUCGGGAAACCGGAGCUAAUACCGGAUAAUAUAUUGAACCGCAUGGUUCAAUAGUGAAAGACGGUUUUGCUGUCACUUAUAGAUGGAUCCGCGCCGCAUUAGCUAGUUGGUAAGGUAACGGCUUACCAAGGCAACGAUGCGUAGCCGACCGGAGAGAGUGGUCGGCGACACGGGAAGUGGGACACGGUCCAGACUCCUACGGGAGGCAGCAGAAGGGAAUCUGCCGCAAUGGGCGAAAACCUGACGGAGCAACGCCGCGUGAGUGAUGAAGGUCUUCGGAUCGUAAAACUCUGUUAUUAGGGAAGAACAAAUGUGUAAGUAACUAUGCACGUCUUGACGGUACCUAAUCAGAAAGCCACGGCUAACUACGUG
Molecule: ribosomal RNA, 497 nt
Filed under: uncultured bacterium
Lineage: Bacteria
Description: partial 16S ribosomal RNA
Rfam family: Bacterial small subunit ribosomal RNA
Source: RNAcentral